RNAcentral lists this ribosomal RNA (709 nucleotides) under uncultured bacterium. RNAcentral's name for it is "bacterial SSU rRNA". It matches the Rfam family "Bacterial small subunit ribosomal RNA", at positions 588 to 1294 of the family's 1533-position model. The record is from RNAcentral.
UCAGAUGUGAAAGCCCCGGGCUCAACCUGGGAACUGCGUUUGAAACUACAAGGCUAGAGUGUAGCAGAGGGGGGUAGAAUUCCACGUGUAGCAGUGAAAUGCGUAGAGAUGUGGAGGAAUACCGAUGGCGAAGGCAGCCCCCUGGGUUAACACUGACGCUCAUGUACGAAAGCGUGGGGAGCAAACAGGAUUAGAUACCCUGGUAGUCCACGCCCUAAACGAUGUCAACUAGUUGUCGGGAGAGGAGACUUUCUUGGUAACGCAGCUAACGCGUAAAGUUGACCGCCUGGGGAGUACGGCCGCAAGGUUAAAACUCAAAGGAAUUGACGGGGGGCCCGCACAAGCGGUGGAUUAUGUGGUUUUAAUUCGAAGCAACGCGCAGAACCUUACCAGCCCUUGACAUGCCUCGGAAGUGGACGAGAGAUCGAUCACGCUCUUCGGAGCCGGGGACACAGGUGCUACAUGGCUGUCGUCAGCUCGUUUCGUGAGAUGUUGGGUUAAGUCCCGCAACGAGCGCAACCAUCGCCCUUAGUUGCCAUCAUUCAGUUGGGCACUCUAGGGGGACUGCCGGUGAUAAGCCGGAGGAAGGUGGGGAUGACGUCAAGUCUUCAUGGCCCUUACGGGCUGGGCUACACACGUGCUACAAUGGCGGUGACAGUGGGCAGCAAGGCAGCAAUGCCAAGCUAAUCUCAAAAAGCCGUCUCAGUUC